This 352-nucleotide long non-coding RNA is filed under the name Cricetulus griseus (Chinese hamster). RNAcentral's name for it is "lncRNA (ENSCGRG00000024626.1)". Lineage: Eukaryota; Metazoa; Chordata; Mammalia; Rodentia; Cricetidae. The record is from RNAcentral.
CCUGUGUCAAACCUCUCUCCAUACCUGUGCUGUCUCCCUCUAUCAAGGCAUCUCCUUUCUUGCCCUCCUCUGUAGGAAGCCGGUUCCUGCAUUAUAAUGCUGCCUGAAGACACCAAGGUGUGAAUUACUUCACAGGCGCCGGGUUAUCUCCAUUCCUUUGAUCUCUGCCUAUCCCGUGGCUCAUUUUAGCCUGAGGAGCUAAAGCCAUUCAUAGGCUUGUCUGCAGAAGGAUCCGAGUGUCCUGCGUGUAUUUCUUGCUGGCGAGGAAUACAGAGCGGGCGCGGGACACUCCUCUAUUCCUCCCCUGUCACAGUCCUCUUCUUCUCUUCCCCCUUCCUCUUCUUCCCUUCCC